This 568-nucleotide ribosomal RNA is filed under the name uncultured bacterium. RNAcentral describes it as "partial 16S ribosomal RNA". It matches the Rfam family "Bacterial small subunit ribosomal RNA", at positions 355 to 912 of the family's 1533-position model. The record is from RNAcentral.
UGGGGAAUAUUGCACAAUGGGCGCAAGCCUGAUGCAGCCAUGCCGCGUGUGUGAAGAAGGCCUUCGGUUGUAAAGCACUUUCAGCGAGGAGGAAGGUGGUGAGCUUAAUACGCUCAUCAAUUGACGUUACUCGCAGAAGAAGCACCGGCUAACUCCGUGCCAGCAGCCGCGGUAAUACGGAGGGUGCAAGCGUUAAUCGGAAUUACUGGGCGUAAAGCGCACGCAGGCGGUUUGUUAAGUCAGAUGUGAAAUCCCCGGGCUCAACCUGGGAACUGCAUUUGAAACUGGCAAGCUAGAGUCUCGUAGAGGGGGGUAGAAUUCCAGGUGUAGCGGUGAAAUGCGUAGAGAUCUGGAGGAAUACCGGUGGCGAAGGCGGCCCCCUGGACGAAGACUGACGCUCAGGUGCGAAAAGCGUGGGGAGCAAACAGGAUUAGAUACCCCUGGUAGUCCACGCUGUAAAACGAUGUCGAUUUUGGAGGUUGUGCCCUUGAGGCGUGGCUUCCGGAGCUAACGCGUUAAAUCGACCGCCUGGGGAGUACGGCCGCAAGGUUAAAACUCAAAUGAAUUG